GACGAACGCUGGCGGCGUGCUUAACACAUGCAAGUCGAACGGAAAGGCCCUGCUUGCAGGGUACUCGAGUGGCGAACGGGUGAGUAACACGUGGGUGAUCUGCCCUGCACUUCGGGAUAAGCCUGGGAAACUGGGUCUAAUACCGGAUAGGAGCCAUUUUUAGUGUGAUGGUUGGAAAGUUUUUUCGGUGUAGGAUGAGCUCGCGGCCUAUCAGCUUGUUGGUGGGGUAAUGGCCUACCAAGGCGGCGACGGGUAGCCGGCCUGAGAGGGUGGACGGCCACAUUGGGACUGAGAUACGGCCCAGACUCCUACGGGAGGCAGCAGUGGGGAAUAUUGCACAAUGGGCGCAAGCCUGAUGCAGCGACGCCGCGUGGGGGAUGCCGGCCUUCGGGUUGUAAACUCCUUUCGCUAGGGACGAAGCUUUUGUGACGGUACCUAGAGAAGAAGCACCGGCUAACUACGUG
Molecule: ribosomal RNA, 464 nt
Filed under: uncultured bacterium
Lineage: Bacteria
Description: partial 16S ribosomal RNA
Rfam family: Bacterial small subunit ribosomal RNA
Source: RNAcentral